This 253-nucleotide ribosomal RNA is filed under the name uncultured bacterium. RNAcentral's name for it is "partial 16S ribosomal RNA". It matches the Rfam family "Bacterial small subunit ribosomal RNA", at positions 524 to 776 of the family's 1533-position model. The record is from RNAcentral.
UACGUAGGGUGCAAGCGUUAAUCGGAAUUACUGGGCGUAAAGCGUGCGCAGGCGGUGAUGUAAGACAGUUGUGAAAUCCCCGGGCUCCAACCUGGGAACUGCAUCUGUGACUGCAUCGCUGGAGUACGGUAGAGGGGAUGGAAUUCCGCGUGUAGCAGUGAAAUGCGUAGAUAUGCGGAGGAACACCGAUGGCGAAGGCAAUCCCCUGGACCUGUACUGACGCUCAUGCACGAAAGCGUGGGGAGCAAACAGG